RNAcentral lists this ribosomal RNA (253 nucleotides) under uncultured bacterium. RNAcentral describes it as "partial 16S ribosomal RNA". It matches the Rfam family "Bacterial small subunit ribosomal RNA", at positions 524 to 776 of the family's 1533-position model. The record is from RNAcentral.
UACGAAGGGGGCUAGCGUUGUUCGGAAUUACUGGGCGUAAAGGGCGCGUAGGCGGCCCUCCAAGUCCGAUGUGAAAGCCCCGGGCUUAACCUGGGAAUUGCAUUUGAGACUGAAGGGCUUGAGUUUCGGAGAGGUGAGUGGAACUGCGAGUGUAGAGGUGAAAUUCGUAGAUACUCGCAAGAACACCAGUGGCGAAGGCGGCUCACUGGCCCGGUACUGACGCUGAGGCACGAAAGCGUGGGGAGCAAACAGG